RNAcentral lists this ribosomal RNA (206 nucleotides) under uncultured bacterium. Its description in RNAcentral is "partial 16S ribosomal RNA". It matches the Rfam family "Bacterial small subunit ribosomal RNA", at positions 1294 to 1500 of the family's 1533-position model. The record is from RNAcentral.
CGGACUGUAGCCUGCAACUCGGCUGCACGAAGCCGGAAUCGCUAGUAAUCGCAGAUCAGCAUGCUGCGGUGAAUACGUUCCCGGGUCUUGUACACACCGCCCGUCACACCAUGAGAGUUGGGAAUACCCGAAGCCUGUGAGCUAACUUUAAGAGGCAGCAGUCGAAGGUAGAAUCAAUGAUUGGGGUGAAGUCGUAACAAGGUACC